RNAcentral lists this ribosomal RNA (364 nucleotides) under uncultured bacterium. RNAcentral's name for it is "bacterial SSU rRNA". It matches the Rfam family "Bacterial small subunit ribosomal RNA", at positions 30 to 395 of the family's 1533-position model. The record is from RNAcentral.
AUUGAACGCUGGCGGCAUGCCUUACACAUGCAAGUCGAACGGCAGCACGGGAGCAAUCCUGGUGGCGAGUGGCGAACGGGUGAGUAAUACAUCGGAACGUGCCCAGUAGUGGGGGAUAACCCGGCGAAAGCCGGACUAAUACCGCAUACGACCUACGGGUGAAAGCAGGGGAUCGCAAGACCUUGCGCUAUUGGAGCGGCCGAUGUCAGAUUAGCUUGUUGGNGGGGUAAAAGCCUACCAAGGCAACGAUCUGUAGCUGGUCUGAGAGGACGACCAGCCACACUGGGACUGAGACACGGCCCAGACUCCUACGGAAGGCAGCAGUGGGGAAUUUGGACAAUGGGCGCAAGCCUGAUCCAGCCAU